UGAGGAGUAGUUCAACUGGUAGAGCACUGGUUUCUGGUACCAGGUGUUGAGGGUUCGAGUCCUUCCUCCUCAG
Molecule: transfer RNA, 73 nt
Filed under: bacterium
Lineage: Bacteria
Also listed under: 1 other name
Description: tRNA-Gln
Rfam family: tRNA
About the family: Transfer RNA (tRNA) molecules are approximately 80 nucleotides in length.
Source: RNAcentral